AUAAAACAGCUCUCGCCUAGCUGCCUUCAUCAGCUGUCUGUUCACUGUCUCACAGGGUGUGUCUCCUGGAGUCUGAAUUGUCUGCUGUGUCGCCAGACAGCAACAACGAUCCAACCACCACCACUGCCGCUACCACUACCACCACCAGCACCGCCACCAGCACCACCAUGAAGACCACCACCGUCAUCCUUCUUCUGUGUGUAGUGGCGGCCAUCACCGCCUUCCCUGACCCUCAGAGCACCGCCGUUGAUCAGAAAUCAAAGGGUCGCCUUUUUUUCCCUCCUGUAAUUGUGCCGAUCAUAGCACCAACACUUACGACCACCACUGCAGCAACCACUGCAGCAACCACAACCAGCUGGUGUAUUGGCACAUUUUGUAUUCCUAACAUAUUCCCAACAGUGACUAUCACUGGUAAGAGGUAAUGGAGCUCUGUUGACGUUGUGACCGCAAACAGUUACUGUUGUUUUUAUAUGUUCUGCGGCUAAGCGUAAAGUCGUUCCUGUUUCACCGUUUUCGAAGCCGUUAUUACCUCAUUGUUAUAUCACUGUUUUAAAUUCCUGUUAACUUACUGUUAGACUGUUCUUUACCCCGAGAUGGGUCACUGUUUGAGGAGCGAGACACAGGAGUCACUGUUGUAUAAGGUACCGUUCACCCCUGGGCCUAGACUCACUGCUGACCCCUCACGGAGUCACUCACUGACUCACUCUCAUGCAGUAAAUGCGUCAGAACUGACUCACUCACUGACUCAGGCAGAACAUCUGUAAUGUACACGUCAAAAUAAAUUUUAAUUCUA
Cherax quadricarinatus is the source of this 793-nucleotide long non-coding RNA. RefSeq lists it as uncharacterized. The record is from RefSeq and is a predicted model, not a curated record. NCBI's taxonomy places the organism in Eukaryota, Metazoa, Arthropoda, Malacostraca, Decapoda, Parastacidae.